AUGAGGCGAAGACCGACGUGGAAGUUGAGGAGGCGGCGGUCUGAGUUGGCCGGAGCGCACGGAAGACGGCUCUGCUUGCCGGAGGCGGACGGGAUUGGCUCAAGAGAUCCACUCGGGCGCGAGAGGAGGCUGGACGAGAGGGUCAGGUCUGGCUUAGCAGGCUCGAGAGAAGGCUGGAGGAGAGGGCCAUGCGUGCCUUGGCGUCCCAAGAGCCACGAGGCCGUCACCACCGGCGUGGCGCGUCCAAGUCAGUGGCGGCAAACGGUCGUUGCAGGUGUAAGGACCAAAGCAAAGCGACGACACAAGGCCGGGCGUCGGAGCAAAGCAGAGCCGGGAGCGCACGGCGUGCACUCGACGGACAUACCACCACCGGCUAGCGGCUAG
This 384-nucleotide ribosomal RNA is filed under the name Triticum aestivum (bread wheat). Its description in RNAcentral is "partial small subunit ribosomal RNA". Lineage: Eukaryota; Viridiplantae; Streptophyta; Magnoliopsida; Poales; Poaceae. The record is from RNAcentral.